ACUCUCUUAGCUCAGUGUGUAGAGCACCUCCCUUACAAGGAGGGGGUCGUUGGUUCGAAUCCAACAGGGAGUACCA
RNAcentral lists this transfer RNA (76 nucleotides) under Vibrio phage Thalassa. RNAcentral describes it as "tRNA-Val". It matches the Rfam family "tRNA". From Rfam's summary of the family: Transfer RNA (tRNA) molecules are approximately 80 nucleotides in length. Their secondary structure includes four short double-helical elements and three loops (D, anti-codon, and T loops). Further hydrogen bonds mediate the characteristic L-shaped molecular structure. tRNAs have two regions of fundamental functional importance: the anti-codon, which is responsible for specific mRNA codon recognition, and the 3' end, to which the tRNAs corresponding amino acid is attached (by aminoacyl-tRNA synthetases). tRNAs cope with the degeneracy of the genetic code in two manners: having more than one tRNA (with a specific anti-codon) for a particular amino acid; and 'wobble' base-pairing, i.e. permitting non-standard base-pairing at the 3rd anti-codon position. The record is from RNAcentral. Lineage: Duplodnaviria; Heunggongvirae; Uroviricota; Caudoviricetes; Demerecviridae. RNAcentral also lists the same sequence under 1 other name.